AGGACUGCCUGGCCAAGGAGUCGGUGAUCCGGCCCGAGAACAACCAGGUCAUCAACCUCACCACGCAGUACCCCUGGUCGGGAUGCCAGGUGGUGCCGGGGGGGCUCCUGAGCUGCUCGAGCGGGCGCAGUUUCCGCUCGGUGCGGGAGCGCUGGUGGUACGUGGCCCUCAGCAAGUGCGGGGGGGACGGCCUGGAGCUGGAGCACGAGAUGGUUUUGACCAACUGGGA
Molecule: long non-coding RNA, 229 nt
Organism: Myiozetetes cayanensis
Lineage: Eukaryota; Metazoa; Chordata; Aves; Passeriformes; Tyrannidae
Exons: 3
Source: RefSeq, a predicted model, not a curated record